CACAGAGAAAAUGCGACUGACCACUGUGCCCCACCCCAGCCUUCCUCGGUGUGGAUGUUCCCGGAGUGUCCUGAGUGAGGGAGACAGGAGCAGAAGCCAGCAUCCACGCUCCUCGCGGCUCGCGGUCUCUCACUGCACACGAUGUGUAUAAACUCACUGUGCUAUGGCCCCAUUCGCAGUCAGAGACUGGAACUAAAUAUCUACUCAUUUCACCUCUCCAUUCACAAGAAGGCUGCCCAACACCAGGAGCCCAGUCUGACUUGCCGAUGCGAAUCAGCCCAGGUCCCCAGAAGCUGAAGCAAGGGCACCUGUGUGUUUUCUUCGGAGAAUCUUCACCUCAGAUGCAGAGACCAACACAAUCUCUGCUAAUUAAUGAAAAAGAAAGAAAGAAGAAAGAUCUAUCUGCUAGGACUAGAAGCUGGGCAAGAAUUCAGCCUUCUCUGAAAACAUGGCCACGCAACAUGCAAACCAAAGUGGAGAACAACUAACUCAGAGGGGUUGGAGGGUGGACGGAGAGGAACAGAGCCAUAGUCAUCGGGAUAACAUGUCUACCACACACACACAAGGGAGAAUUUGGAUCCUUCGGUCACACCUUACAUGAAAGUAAUUCUAAAUGAGUGGAAGACCUAAAUGGACUGCUUAUUUCACAGCAGGCGGCAGGAUCCCAGGUUUUCACAGAGGAGAGGGUCAAGCUCCCAGCCUGGCUAAUCGCAACAGGCCUUCAGGCAGAUGGAGUUUGAAAUCAGAGUCUUCGGGAAGGCCGCAGGACACCCACUGGACACGGUCUCACAACACAUCCUGCUGGGACUUCAGUAGUCCUCCUCCAGAGAGCAUCCUCGGGUCUUCCCUCCUCCUCCUUCGCCGGUUCUGAACCCCCUCUUCUAUCCCCCACCAAGUGAUGUCUCCCUGAGUCUCCGUCUCACAGCAUGGACAUUCUGGCUUUGGACUUUGGGAGAGAUGUUCCUUGGUCCUUUGGAAUGGGCUUUGGAGUAAAAG
Long non-coding RNA from Tupaia belangeri chinensis (Chinese tree shrew), 996 nucleotides. RefSeq lists it as uncharacterized. NCBI's taxonomy places the organism in Eukaryota, Metazoa, Chordata, Mammalia, Scandentia, Tupaiidae. The transcript has 5 exons. The record is from RefSeq and is a predicted model, not a curated record.